CGAGUCAGCCAGGCGGCCGCGUCACAGAGAACCAGCGCCAUUGUGGCGGCAGGCUCUGUGCCGAGGAAAGUCCGGACUCCGUAGAGCAGGGCGGUUGCUAACAGCAACCCGGGGUGACCCGCGGGACAGUGCCACAGAAAACAAACCGCCGGUACCUGUGCACGCACGGUGCCGGUAAGGGUGAAACGGUGCGGUAAGAGCGCACCAGCAGCCUGGGUGACCAGGCUGGCUUGGUAAACCCCGCCCGGAGCAAGGCUGAAGGCCGCACCGCUUUGGUGCGGCUGCGCGGGUGUUCGAGGGCUGCUCGCCCGAACCCGCGGGUGAGCCGCAUGAGGUACCCGGCGACGGUGUGCCCAGAUGGAUGGUCGCCACUCCUCUCUCGUCGUAAGACAGGGACGAGGGGCACAGAAUCCGGCUUACCGGCUGACUCGUCCU
The sequence is a non-coding RNA, 435 nucleotides long. It matches the Rfam family "Bacterial RNase P class A". Rfam says of the family: Ribonuclease P (RNase P) is a ubiquitous endoribonuclease, found in archaea, bacteria and eukarya as well as chloroplasts and mitochondria. Its best characterised activity is the generation of mature 5'-ends of tRNAs by cleaving the 5'-leader elements of precursor-tRNAs. The record is from Rfam.